CAAGUCGAACGGUAGCACAGAGGAGCUUGCCCCUUGGGUGAAACGAGUGGCGGACGGGUGAGUAAUGUCUGGGAAACUGCCCGAUGGAGGGGGAUAACUACUGGAAACGGUAGCUAAUACCGCAUAACGUCGCAAGACCAAAGAGGGGGACCUUCGGGCCUCUUGCCAUCGGAUGUGCCCAGAUGGGAUUAGCUAGUAGGUGGGGUAACGGCUCACCUAGGCGACGAUCCCUAGCUGGUCUGAGAGGAUGACCAGCCACACUGGAACUGAGACACGGUCCAGACUCCUACGGGAGGCAGCAGUGGGGAAUAUUGCACAAUGGGCGCAAGCCUGAUGCAGCCAUGCCGCGUGUAUGAAGAAGGCCUUCGGGUUGUAAAGUACUUUCAGCGAGGAGGAAGGCGUUGUGGUUAAUAACCGCAGCGAUUGACGUUACUCGCAGAAGAAGCACCGGCUAACUCCGUGCCAGCAGCCGCGGUAAAAGGG
RNAcentral lists this ribosomal RNA (483 nucleotides) under uncultured Enterobacterales bacterium. RNAcentral describes it as "bacterial SSU rRNA". It matches the Rfam family "Bacterial small subunit ribosomal RNA", at positions 58 to 528 of the family's 1533-position model. Lineage: Bacteria; Pseudomonadati; Pseudomonadota; Gammaproteobacteria; Enterobacterales. The record is from RNAcentral.